UACCUCUCAAGGUCGCACCUGGAGAGAUUCCAGUACUCUACCAGUCUCGACUAUGGGAGGGAGAGUCAAGCAGAGGCCUACCCUUCCAUUCUUAGCUUGACCAGUGGCUAGUGAGUGGAAAGCAAUUUGUUACAAGU
RNAcentral lists this small nucleolar RNA (137 nucleotides) under Ornithorhynchus anatinus (platypus). The record is from RNAcentral. Lineage: Eukaryota; Metazoa; Chordata; Mammalia; Monotremata; Ornithorhynchidae.